Molecule: ribosomal RNA, 253 nt
Filed under: uncultured bacterium
Lineage: Bacteria
Description: partial 16S ribosomal RNA
Rfam family: Bacterial small subunit ribosomal RNA
Source: RNAcentral
UACGAAGGGGGCUAGCGUUGUUCGGAAUUACUGGGCGUAAAGCGCGCGCAGGCGGCUAUCCAAGUCAGUGGUGAAAGCCCGGAGCUCAACUCCGGAACUGCCAUUGAAACUGUUUAGCUUGAGGAUGAGAGAGGUGAGUGGAAUUCCCAGUGUAGAGGUGAAAUUCGUAGAUAUUGGGAAGAACACCGGUGGCGAAGGCGGCAUCCUGGACCGAUACUGACGCUGAGGAGCGAAAGCCAGGGGAGCAAACGGG